CCUGGUUGGCUCAGUCAGAACAGCAUACAACUCUUGAUCUGGUGGUUUUAAGUUUGGGACCCAUGCUAGACG
This 72-nucleotide transfer RNA is filed under the name Felis catus (domestic cat). Its description in RNAcentral is "tRNA-OTHER". The record is from RNAcentral. Lineage: Eukaryota; Metazoa; Chordata; Mammalia; Carnivora; Felidae.